This 253-nucleotide ribosomal RNA is filed under the name uncultured bacterium. Its description in RNAcentral is "partial 16S ribosomal RNA". It matches the Rfam family "Bacterial small subunit ribosomal RNA", at positions 524 to 776 of the family's 1533-position model. The record is from RNAcentral.
UACGUAGGGCGCAAGCGUUAUCCGGAAUUAUUGGGCGUAAAGGGCUCGUAGGCGGUUUGUCGCGUCGGGAGUGAAAACACGGGGCUUAACCCCGUGCCUGCUUCCGAUACGGGCAGACUAGAGGUAUGCAGGGGAGAACGGAAUUCCUGGUGUAGCGGUGAAAUGCGCAGAUAUCAGGAGGAACACCGGUGGCGAAGGCGGUUCUCUGGGCAUUACCUGACGCUGAGGAGCGAAAGUGUGGGGAGCGAACAGG